RNAcentral lists this ribosomal RNA (216 nucleotides) under uncultured prokaryote. RNAcentral describes it as "partial 16S ribosomal RNA". It matches the Rfam family "Bacterial small subunit ribosomal RNA", at positions 524 to 739 of the family's 1533-position model. The record is from RNAcentral.
UACGAGGGGGGCAAGCGUUGUUCGGAAUUAUUGGGCGUAAAGGGCGCGCAGGCGGCCACGCACGUCCGUUGUGAAAUCGCCCGGCUCAACUGGGCGGGGUCAGCGGAUACGGCGCGGCUGGAGCAAGCUAGGGGGCAAUGGAAUUCCCGGUGUAGUGGUGGAAUGCGUAGAUAUCGGGAGGAACACCAGUGGCGAAGGCGGUUGCCUGGAGCUUUG